RNAcentral lists this ribosomal RNA (710 nucleotides) under uncultured Enterobacteriaceae bacterium. RNAcentral's name for it is "bacterial SSU rRNA". It matches the Rfam family "Bacterial small subunit ribosomal RNA", at positions 791 to 1502 of the family's 1533-position model. The record is from RNAcentral. Lineage: Bacteria; Pseudomonadati; Pseudomonadota; Gammaproteobacteria; Enterobacterales; Enterobacteriaceae.
UAGUCACGCUGUAAACGAUGUCGAUUUGGAGCUUGGGGGCAUGACCCUUGGGCUCCGGAGCUAACGCGUUAAAUCGACCGCUGGGGAGUACGGCCGCAAGGUUAAAACUCAAAUGAAUUGACGGGGGCCCGCACAAGCGGUGGAGCAUGUGGUUUAAUUCGAUGCAACGCGAAGAACCUUACCUGGUCUUGACAUCCAUAGAAUCUUUCAGAGAUGAGAGAGUGCCUUCGGGAGCUAUGAGACAGGUGCUGCAUGGCUGUCGUCAGCUCGUGUUGUGAAAUGUUGGGUUAAGUCCCGCAACGAGCGCAACCCCUAUCCUUUGUUGCCAGCACGUAAUGGUGGGAACUCAAAGGAGACUGCCGUUGAUAAAGCGGAGGAAGGUGGGGACGACGUCAAGUCAUCAUGGCCCUUACGACCAGGGCUACACACGUGCUACAAUGGCGUAUACAAAGGGAUGCGAAGGUGCGAACUGGAGCGGACCUCACAAAGUACGUCUAAGUCCGGAUUGGAGUCUGCAACUCGACUCCAUGAAGUCGGAAUCGCUAGUAAUCGUGAAUCAGAAUGUCACGGUGAAUACGUUCCCGGGCCUUGUACACACCGCCCGUCACACCAUGGGAGUGGGUUGCACCAGAAGUAGAUAGCUUAACCUUCGGGAGGGCGUUUACCACGGUGUGGUUCAUGACUGGGGUGAAGUCGUAACAAGGUAACCA